AAAGACAAUCAAUGAAAGUUAUAGAGCAGCUCCCCAACAUAAGAGAAUUUUCCUAGGGUUGAAUUCAAACAAUGUUUUUAAAGAGAGCUUCUUGGAUGUUCACUUUAAGAAACAGAUUAAUGAUGAGUUACAGGAAUUCUCUCCUGGACUUACAUGAACAAGUUCCAGCUCAGUGUCUCAUCCUAUGCAGGUUUAUAAUGGAAAGUCUAACAGAUGAGCUGUGCAGCUCACACUAUGCAAGUAGAACUACUAUGAAUAAGUGUGGCUGAUCAGCACUGUACCUUUCCCUAUUGUUCGUUUUAAAGAAAGAUGAAUUUUUAUUUCCAUUCCACUAUUUCUGCAAUAGUAUGUAAGAUUGCACAACCACAUUACACCUUGUGUAAAUAUACACAUUGCAAAAUCUUUCAACUGCCUGCAGGGGCUGUGACUCACUGAUUAGGCAAUGCAGUGUGCUGGGGUGACUGCUGCAUGGUUAGCAGUUAAACUUUCAGCUUGUCUCUUACCCAACUAACUGCACACACAUUUGCCUACUUUGGAAUUUCACCACCUCUGUGCCUUGAGUAUUCCUAAAAGGUUCUGUUAGUUCUCUGAGGGCAAUAAUGAAAACUGCACUGCAGAAUAAUACUUGGGUAGGGUGGCUGUACUUAACUAAUUUCUCAGACGUUUAAGUUCAGAGAAUUCAAAAUGCAUCAGCUUUGGCUUUGAAGGAAGAAAGAACAGCAGCAUAAAAUGGCUUGUUGUCACCAUUUGUAGUUUCACACACAAUGUGGUGAAAGGAGGGCUAUGGGGGCGGGGGAGGAGGAUCUCUCUUUUGCUGUGGCCUGUCAGACUAGGGAGCUGGAGAACAUAAAUAGCACUAAGUUCUAGGUGGUGAAAACGAGCAUUGCUGAAAACCUGCAACAUUUGUUCCCCUAAAUUCCUUAUCUUAUUUGCAUUUCCCUUUAGAGUGAAGACUUUUGGUUGGGCCAAAGUUAACCACAGAACAAUUGACACUCCCUCCCGCAAUGAUUUACAAAAAAACUUCUCUACAAACUUUUAAAG
Chelonoidis abingdonii (Abingdon island giant tortoise) is the source of this 1041-nucleotide non-coding RNA. The record is from RefSeq and is a predicted model, not a curated record. Lineage: Eukaryota; Metazoa; Chordata; Testudines; Testudinidae.